This 212-nucleotide long non-coding RNA is filed under the name Lathyrus oleraceus (garden pea). RNAcentral's name for it is "Pisum sativum (pea) long non-coding RNA (PSAT_LNC011841)". The record is from RNAcentral. Lineage: Eukaryota; Viridiplantae; Streptophyta; Magnoliopsida; Fabales; Fabaceae.
AAAAAUCCAAAUGAUGCAAAAUUUAAGUCCAUUUUGAUUUUCUUGAAAAUAUCCACAACUUUGAUGUUGGAGGUUGUUUCAUAUGAAGCUUGCAUCAUUAAAACAGAAAGGCUUGAAAGUUGGCCAAUUUUAGAGACCUUGCCUUGACAUGUUUUGCACAACACACUUUAAACUCAAAUUUCAUAAAUUUCCACAUUCCAAAUGGACUUUUU